AGCAGCAGGUGCCUGACAUUUCCUCCAGGCAAGGCACCUUCACCCAUCCUCUGUACCCUCUGCUCAGCACUCGGUCGUUGUGAAAAAAUAUCAAAAAGGAAUCAAUGUGACUUUGAACAAUGCUGAUGAAAAAAUACAUCACUGAGGAGCAAUUGGCACUGAAGUCAGUAACACGACUGCUUAGACUGGCUCCACACUGAAUGCAGGUGGAGGUCAGUGCAAGCUCCACCGCCCUUUCUGCACUGCCUCCACAUGAGCAGCCCCAGUCUGAACAGAAAAGCUUGUGACAAGUUAUUGGCGGCUGUGUUAUGGCAAACACGGAUCCCGCAGUGCUGCUGCUGCCCAGAGGGGCCUGGAGGAAGCUGGUCCCACGGCUGCCAUCCCGGGGUCCUGGAGCACUGGCACAUGGAGAAACCUCCACCCUGAAGCAGAAGUGUUUAUUUUGGAUGUGCCCUGGAGCUGCUGAAUUUGAAAUAAUUUACAGAAGAUUCAGGGGGCAGUGCUCCUGCAAACAAUUUCUUUGGAUAACAGUUUAGAAGUUCAAAUAGCACUUUUCUACCACUGUCGUGUUCAUGUCUCUCAUUUCCAUGUGCAUUUUAGGAGAUGAACUUCUUACUGUGAAAUUUCACAGAAAUAAUGCAUUUCAGAUUACUAAUGGAAGUAUUUGAAAAAAUAAAAUGCUAAGCAUGAAAAGGUAGGUAUUUCCUGAACAUCACUGUUCUGUGGUGUGCUUACGGUGCUUCUCUGAGAGCUGCUGGCAGUAGCUGCAGAUCUGCGGUGCCACAAGUUUCCCACUGCAGUUGCUGGCAGGUGGACUGAGCCCCGGCUUGAACUUCAGGGGAGAAUUCCCCAUCUGAGGAGAACGUAGACACAAAUGCUGUGUCCAGUGACAACUCUUGCUGUUUUGGGGACUGCUUGUGGUCAGCCUUUGUUUUCCAUCAUAAUGGAAAACAAAGGGGACAGGGCUGCAGUCCUGGAGAACACCCAGGCAGGUGCAUUGCUCACCGCAGGGCUCCCUGCAGGAGCUGCCAAAGCGCUGGAAGCAGCAGUGGGGAGAUGGAGCGCUGCAAAUGCUCCCUCCGCAGCGGCCAGCGUUGGCUGCCCGCAUGGAUGGGCUCUCACCUGGGGAUGGUGAGGACAGGACGUCUUAGCAAAAUUGUGACUCUUAUGU
Molecule: long non-coding RNA, 1171 nt
Organism: Anas platyrhynchos (mallard)
Lineage: Eukaryota; Metazoa; Chordata; Aves; Anseriformes; Anatidae
Source: RefSeq, a predicted model, not a curated record